RNAcentral lists this ribosomal RNA (500 nucleotides) under uncultured bacterium. RNAcentral's name for it is "partial 16S ribosomal RNA". It matches the Rfam family "Bacterial small subunit ribosomal RNA", at positions 30 to 523 of the family's 1533-position model. The record is from RNAcentral.
AUUGAACGCUGGCGGCAUGCCUUACACAUGCAAGUCGAACGGUAACGGGUCCUUCGGGAUGCCGACGAGUGGCGAACGGGUGAGUAAUAUAUCGGAACGUGCCCAGUAGUGGGGGAUAACUGCUCGAAAGAGCAGCUAAUACCGCAUACGACCUGAGGGUGAAAGGGGGGGAUCGAAAGACCUCUCGCUAUUGGAGCGGCCGAUAUCGGAUUAGCUAGUUGGUUGGGUAAAGGCCUACCAAGGCAACGAUCUGUAGUUGGUCUGAGAGGACGAGCAGCCACACUGGGACGGAGACACGGCCCAGACGCCUACGGGAGGCAGCAGUGGGGAAUUUUGGACAAUGGGCGCAAGCCUGAUCCAGCAAUGCCGCGUGCAGGAAGAAGGCCUUCGGGUUGUAAACUGCUUUUGUCAGGGAAGAAAUCUUCUGGGCUAAUACCCCGGGAGGAUGACGGUACCUGAAGAAUAAGCACCGGCUAACUACGUGCCAGCCGCCGCAGUAA